AUUCCCCUGGGACGUUGGUGGAUGCAGGCUGUGAUGAGCCAACGUCAAUGAACCGGGAGCUCUCAUACUGCUCUGUGGACGCCAUGCCCCCUCGGGGGAUCGCGGAAGCGGCGGUGCGGGCACCCACCUAUCAGGUUCGGUUCAUUCACGUUGCAUACACGGCGUCUCCGGGGGAUUC
This 178-nucleotide non-coding RNA is filed under the name Candidatus Sumerlaeota bacterium. Its description in RNAcentral is "6S RNA". It matches the Rfam family "6S / SsrS RNA". Rfam says of the family: E. coli 6S RNA was the first non coding RNA to be sequenced, but its function was unknown until recently. Lineage: Bacteria; Candidatus Sumerlaeota. The record is from RNAcentral.